This 244-nucleotide ribosomal RNA is filed under the name uncultured bacterium. RNAcentral's name for it is "partial 16S ribosomal RNA". It matches the Rfam family "Bacterial small subunit ribosomal RNA", at positions 533 to 776 of the family's 1533-position model. The record is from RNAcentral.
UGCAAGCGUUAUCCGGAUUUACUGGGUUUAACAGGUGUGAAGGCGGCCUUUUAAGUCAGUGGGGAAAUCUCCGGGCUCAACCUGGAAACUGCCAUUGAUACUAUUAGUCUUGAAUUUUGUUGAGGUAGGCGGAAUAAGUCAUGUAGCGGUGAAAUGCAUAGAUAUGACUUAGAACACCAAUUGCGAAGGCAGCUUGCUAAACAAAUAUUGACGCUGAGGCACGAAAGCGUGGGGAUCAAACAGG